Ochotona curzoniae (black-lipped pika) is the source of this 683-nucleotide non-coding RNA. Lineage: Eukaryota; Metazoa; Chordata; Mammalia; Lagomorpha; Ochotonidae. The record is from the annotation of a RefSeq genome assembly.
GCUUGCCGAGAUCGUGGCAGAGACCAGCAGCGAGAAGCAGAGCUCCCAGAGCAUCCAGCCUCGAUUUAGGAGCGUUUGCACUUUCACCUAAGCAGAAAGCUUGGCCAUCCCGACUCCCCCUGCACCUCCUGACUCCAAGGUCUCUGUUGGCAGCUGCUCUCCCGCUCUCCCGCUCUCCCGCCGCCAGGAACUCUCCCAGCAAAGAAGCUGCAGCGUUUCCAGCCCAGCCAUGCUCCUGCUGCUCGCCUCAGUGCUGGGGCUUCACUUGGCCCUGAGAGACGCUGGAGCCCAGACUGUGACCCAGCCCGACACCCAUGUCUCUGUGUCUGAAGGAGACUCUGUGGAGCUGAGGUGCAACUACUCCUAUGGGGGAGCUAUUUACCUCUUCUGGUAUGUCCAGCACCGUGGCCAAGGUCCUCAGCUUCUCCUGAAAUACGUUUCAGGGAACACCCUGGUUCAGGGCCUCUACGGUUUUGAGGCUGAAUUUAAGAAGAGCGAAUCUUCCUUCCACCUGAGGAAGCCCUCUGUGCAGCUGAGUGACGCGGCCCAGUACUGGUGUGCUCUGAGUGCCACAGCGCCUGGGGCUGCAGGGGGAGCAGUGCAUAAACCACCCCUGAGUGCAGAGCUCAGAAACUCAGCAGCUCUUCCUGGAGCUCCAACCAGCAAAGGAGAAUGAGUGAGAG